GAGCUUUUUUAAAGCCGGGGCUGUGAGGCGGAGCGAAGGAUGCGUGAUUGAUAGGUACAGCAUCCAAUCAGAUUCUGGGGUUUAUUUGCUCGGACCAAUAGCGGAGAUGAGUACGACCUCGUUGAAAUCUUCUGAUUGGUCUGCAAACACGUAAUGUCCCGCCCCUCUGAUGACCUACAGGACAAUAACUUCAGUAGAUGCCUCCUAAGUGGCCUGAGGGAUCGAGGCAACAUGACUGCAGACAUCAGGAGUGCAACAAUCAGAAAGUACUUCAAUCUGAUUUCAUUUCCUUUAGGAAUCAUAUACAUGAUUUUUUUUUUUCAAUCAAGGUUUAGGCCUUAUCACAUAACUACACAGCGUUGGUUAAAGUAGUAAAUGCCUGAAUAUUGACCACUGAUCUGUGUUGCUUGUGUUGCUCGGUCUCAGUGCAAAAAUCAUAAAUAAUUUUUUUAGAGAGCUCUUUCCUGAUUCAGAUCUUAUUUAAUUGACAAUGAUCAGUUUGUGAAUGUGAAUGUUCUACAAAGCUCUGUUUUAUGACUAAUUGUUUUUUUUCUACUAUGGGCCAGAGGUCUGUGAUCAGUUUAGUGAAUCUUGUUGCCUGAUAAACCCAAUAGAAUAAAGUGUCAAUAUGUGUUAUUGAAAAUGAUCUAGAAAUAACAUUGAAUUUAAUUUUCUUGACCAGAAUGUUCCUUAAAGAACCUCAGUGGUUGAUUUUUGGCUGAGUGGCAAUGACACAAUGCUGUGACUGACUUUUACAUUAUCAACAAAGUGUUUAAAAUGUUUUUAACAGUGUUAAGCAAUAAAACUAAAUGUAUAAUCACUUUAUACAUUUACUGAAUACAUUUAAUUUGCUACACAUUGGGUUAUAUAUAGUCAGCUACUCCAAUACAACUCUUGUCGUUUCAAUAUUUUAUUCCGCUUGCUAGCUAACUAUCAUGCUAGAUAUUUACAGAGUCCAAAUGAUUCUAGUUUAAAAGCUACAUCAUCUUAAAUCAAGCAGUCAUGUGAUCAGAGAAAUCAACAAGGGCGUGUUUAAAACAGUACUAGAACGCGAGGUGGA
Long non-coding RNA from Pangasianodon hypophthalmus (striped catfish), 1060 nucleotides. RefSeq lists it as uncharacterized. The transcript is spliced from 3 exons. The record is from RefSeq and is a predicted model, not a curated record. NCBI's taxonomy places the organism in Eukaryota, Metazoa, Chordata, Actinopteri, Siluriformes, Pangasiidae.